UUUGAUGGUUGAAGAGCUAGCAAAGUGGAAAGCAUCUCUCAACCAGAAAGUUGCUACUUAUGAAGAGAUCAUACGUCAGUUACGCUGUGAAAGGAACUGUGUUCGCGAAUCAUUGCUGCAGACAUUCAAAAACCUUCAUGUGCUCCAAACAAAUUAUGAUUUAGCAGCUUUGGUGAACUCGCCAAACAGUAGAGGAGAUUGUGUGCCUAAAACAAGCAAUAUACUUGAUUUGGCUUCAUCAAACUAUAGAAUCAGUGAGAAUUUGAAGGUUCAACUAUUGGGUGCUGACGCAAGUAAAUAUGAGGCCGCAAAUUUGAGCACUUUAAAUUCUGAGACUUCUGCUGAGCAAUUGUCAAAUCAGGCACUGUCAAUGCCUCUGGAGCUGUUGAAGCGGACUGACGAUGCAUGUAGUGCUGUAAUCGGAGCGGCAGUAGCAUUAAAUGCUACCAUCCACAAUCCCAACUGUCAUCACUGCACUGGGAAAGUGCAAGUGCUCUGA
Molecule: long non-coding RNA, 499 nt
Filed under: Bemisia tabaci
Lineage: Eukaryota; Metazoa; Arthropoda; Insecta; Hemiptera; Aleyrodidae
Description: lncRNA ENSSWEETPG013271
Source: RNAcentral